CAAACUCGAGCAAGUGCAUCUUCAAAAUGUUCACCAUCAGACUCCUUUGGAAUCAGGUUGAGUAUCUGUUGAACAGUACGUCGCUUUACAAUUCUGACUCCUAAACAGAAGAUUCGAGCAUCACAUCCGGUUAAUGAUAUUUUAUUGAUCCCGUCUUUUGUACAUGGUGUGACAAUUGGACCAUCAUCACGGCCAUUAGCCCCCAAUAAUUGUGAACCAGGUCUAUUAAUAGCUCGAACUGGCAUACCAUUGACCUGCAGAUCUGCAUAUUGUGGCCAUUGCAUCCUAAAAGGAACCUUGUCAUUCAAAAGCAUACACCAAGCCUGAACAUCAUAUUCUUGUUUUGUCAGCAAGUCCCUAUCUGCCCUUGUAAGAUGAAAUGUUUUCUCCACACUCUGCACUGGGCUUGAACCAUCACUCGGGAUAUUUGUAGUAGCCAACUUCACAGGAUACAGAGGAUGAGCAACAGUAACCCAAAAAGGGUCAGCACGGCAGAGUCGACAUAUCUCGCAGUAAAACAAGUCAGGAACUUGAGGAAUGCCCUCCAUGGGUUUUUCAGGAAUUAUAACACAACUAAUGUGUUGCCACACUUGACAUCUGCGAUCCUCACACUUAAUCAUCGACUCCGUCAACAAGGAACUUCCGCAUGGACAACGAACUUUUGUAUCCAAUUGAAAGGACUCAUCCAUUUCUCCUUUAAUUACUGCCUUGCUGCCAUCCAAAACACCCUGUCCCUUUGAUGCUAAAUCAGU
RNAcentral lists this unclassified non-coding RNA (752 nucleotides) under Hevea brasiliensis (rubber tree). Lineage: Eukaryota; Viridiplantae; Streptophyta; Magnoliopsida; Malpighiales; Euphorbiaceae. The record is from RNAcentral.